Molecule: ribosomal RNA, 134 nt
Filed under: uncultured eukaryote
Lineage: Eukaryota
Description: partial 18S ribosomal RNA
Rfam family: Eukaryotic small subunit ribosomal RNA
Source: RNAcentral
UGGUGGAGCGAUUUGUCUGGUUAAUUCCGAUAACGAACGAGACUCUAGCCUGCUAAAUAGGCAGUGGAUUAUUCGUCCACUGUACUUCUUAGAGGGACAAGCAGCGUCUAGCUGCACGAGAUUGAGCAAUAACA